GCCGGGGUAGCUCAGUUGGUAGAGCGCAAGGCUCUUAGCGACGUUUCGCUCAUACGAGGGUCCGUAGCACACCUUGUGGUCGAGGGUUCGAGCCCCUCCUCCGGCG
Molecule: transfer RNA, 106 nt
Filed under: Klebsormidium nitens
Lineage: Eukaryota; Viridiplantae; Streptophyta; Klebsormidiophyceae; Klebsormidiales; Klebsormidiaceae
Rfam family: tRNA
About the family: Transfer RNA (tRNA) molecules are approximately 80 nucleotides in length. Their secondary structure includes four short double-helical elements and three loops (D, anti-codon, and T loops). Further hydrogen bonds mediate the characteristic L-shaped molecular structure. tRNAs have two regions of fundamental functional importance: the anti-codon, which is responsible for specific mRNA codon recognition, and the 3' end, to which the tRNAs corresponding amino acid is attached (by aminoacyl-tRNA synthetases). tRNAs cope with the degeneracy of the genetic code in two manners: having more than one tRNA (with a specific anti-codon) for a particular amino acid; and 'wobble' base-pairing, i.e. permitting non-standard base-pairing at the 3rd anti-codon position.
Source: Rfam by way of RNAcentral